RNAcentral lists this transfer RNA (72 nucleotides) under Camelus bactrianus (Bactrian camel). It matches the Rfam family "tRNA". Rfam says of the family: Transfer RNA (tRNA) molecules are approximately 80 nucleotides in length. Their secondary structure includes four short double-helical elements and three loops (D, anti-codon, and T loops). Further hydrogen bonds mediate the characteristic L-shaped molecular structure. tRNAs have two regions of fundamental functional importance: the anti-codon, which is responsible for specific mRNA codon recognition, and the 3' end, to which the tRNAs corresponding amino acid is attached (by aminoacyl-tRNA synthetases). tRNAs cope with the degeneracy of the genetic code in two manners: having more than one tRNA (with a specific anti-codon) for a particular amino acid; and 'wobble' base-pairing, i.e. permitting non-standard base-pairing at the 3rd anti-codon position. RNAcentral also lists the same sequence under 1 other name. Lineage: Eukaryota; Metazoa; Chordata; Mammalia; Artiodactyla; Camelidae. The record is from Rfam by way of RNAcentral.
AAAGGUAUAGCUUGGUGGUAGAGUGCGUGCUUAACAUGCACAAGGCCCUAGAUUCCAUUCCUGGUACCUCCA